This is a long non-coding RNA of Canis lupus familiaris (dog), 640 nucleotides long. RefSeq lists it as uncharacterized. The record is from RefSeq and is a predicted model, not a curated record. The transcript is spliced from 4 exons. Lineage: Eukaryota; Metazoa; Chordata; Mammalia; Carnivora; Canidae.
GCACCUUCUCAACAGCAUACCUGGGAUCCUCCAGCACUGAAUCCCAGCAACUGUCAAGACUGACCAGGUCUCUGCCAAACAGAUGCCCAGCUAUGCAGCUACAUCCACCUCCAGAUGUCAAAAAAAAAGAAAAAAAAAACAGAAAAUGAGAAUGUUCCCAUCAGACCCAACUGAACUGCCACUGGGAAGUGGGCAUAGUGGAGGAGGGAGUAGAAGAUGAAUUGGCUUGGAAAUCACGAUGACCUGUGCUCUCCCACAGGCCCUGCUACCUACUGGCUGUGUGGCCCUAGAUAAGGCACCUUCCUUCUCUGAGACUCCGUUUACAAAACAGUAAAACAGAAAUUUUGAGGAAACAUUCAGAAAGCAGGCAGAUUCUACACUCACAGACAGAACAUUGAUGAAGAUAAUAGUGGAAGCUCAGAAGAGAUAAGCCUAAUAAAACCUCAAAUAAACCCAAUUAUAAAGCCAAUAUUUCAGCCUCAGGAAAAAUAUUGAUUCCAUACCCUGUGAGAAGAAAUUAAGAAACUGAUUGCCUCUGAGUUCUAGUGUGGAAGUCGGGGGGCCUGCUGUCUUAUUCCAAGGUCCAGUUUCUAUGAAGACCAGUUUUUCUGCUCAAAUACCGAGCUUUCCUGCAUGGUCU